This 637-nucleotide long non-coding RNA is filed under the name Homo sapiens (human). RNAcentral's name for it is "ANKRD42 divergent transcript, transcript variant 4 (ANKRD42-DT)". The record is from RNAcentral. Lineage: Eukaryota; Metazoa; Chordata; Mammalia; Primates; Hominidae.
CACGCUACUUCCGGUUUCCUUUCCCUCAGCUAUUCCAUGGCUUUUCGUGUGGACAAAUCGGGAGGUGGUGUAAACUGGUUUUUGGUGAAAUUCGGCUCGGCCUCAUGCGAACCUAUCUAGGUCCGUCUCUGGAGUGGCCUGUCAUCGAUCGCGCCCUCCAUCGCUGAGCGACACAAGUGGAACCCCCCAGGACUGCAUUCUGCUUUUGGUCUGUGAACACAUUUGGGAAAUUCUUCUGAUCCUACCGCUACUCUCUUGAGAGAGAGAAACAAGGGAAAAAAAAGUUAAUUGCCUGAGGAUAUACUGCUAGUGUUGCGGGACAAAUAGAGACGGGAGAGGCCAAACAGAAUUCAGGACAACCCUUUAUUAUUAAGAUGAAGAAACAGCUCAGAUUUGACCAAGAUCACACAAGUAGGAGUUGAGGAAUUGGAACCCACUAUGACUGACUCCAAAUUAAUAUAGUGUUUAUAGCCACUUACAUAAUAAUGGUAAAGGUUUUAUUUUUUUCACUAUACAAUAUGUAGUAGAUAAAUUUACUGAGGAAAUGAGACAGCACGUGACAAAUCCUUAAAGGAUACACACAUGACAGGAAGGAUUAGAAGAGGAAACAGAAACAGGUAACAAAAAAAAAAAAAAA